RNAcentral lists this Y RNA (102 nucleotides) under Prolemur simus (greater bamboo lemur). RNAcentral's name for it is "Y RNA (ENSPSMG00000024588.1)". It matches the Rfam family "Y RNA". Rfam says of the family: Y RNAs are components of the Ro ribonucleoprotein particle (Ro RNP), in association with Ro60 and La proteins. The Y RNAs and Ro60 and La proteins are well conserved, but the function of the Ro RNP is not known. Lineage: Eukaryota; Metazoa; Chordata; Mammalia; Primates; Lemuridae. The record is from Rfam by way of RNAcentral.
GGCUGGUCCAAGUGCAGUGGUGUUUGCAACAAAUUGAUCACAACCAGUUAAAGAUUUCUUUGUUCCUUCUCUACUCCCACUGCUUUACGUGACUGGCCUAAA